UGAAUACGGUGAUAAGAGUUUGACGCUGUAGUGUGGAGAACUGUGGCUCCACAGUGUCAGAUGGAUCCAGUUACGACGUCCAGUGUUGUGAUACAUGCAACUACACAGUGACAACAACUCCAACUACUACAACUCCAAUUACUACUACAAGUCCAACUACUACUACUACUACAAGUCCAACUACUACUCCAACUUCAACAAUUCCAACUACUACUACAACUCCAACCACAACUCUCACUACUACUACAACCCCAACUACUACAUCUCCAACUACCACAACUCCAUCUACUACUACAACUCCUACUACUACAACAACUUCAACUGCUACAACGACUACAACUUCAACUGCUACAACGACUAUAAGUACUCCAACCCGUACAACGGCAACCACCAUUGUCACAGUUAACACAUCAGCCACCACGUGUAUGGAUUCUGGCAGAUUCGGUGGUGUAGACUGUUCCCAGUUUGUUGAUAAAGAAGGCAAGGCGAUGUGUUACAACUCCACCGUCAGAGAUGUAUGCUGCACCACGUGUACCAGUAUUGCAACGUCGGAGCAAGAUUGCCAAUAUGGUGACAGAGAUCCGAAUUUCUGCGACGGUGUGACUCCAGAUCGACUUGAUUGUCGGACGAUAGAUCGAAUAUGCUGCCGAUCUUGUAGAUUUUAUUCUGGGACUUCCCGUCUACAUGCUAAUCGUAUUAUGUUAUUUUCACUGUUACUAGUUUUUGUAGUUCAUAAAGCUUCUGACUGAAAAUAAGCAUGCAUCAGUCCUUUUUUAUGUAGCAGUAUAUAAUUUUCUCCCCUGUCGCUCGCGGAAAGAGUUGGCUCUUUUUUGCUAAGAUUCCUGAAUGUAGGCUUGGUAUUAGCGAUAUGAAAUAAUUUCGUAAGCUUAGUGAUAGUAAAUUUCAGCAUUUACUAUUGAUGUGACUUUUUUUUCCUCACCAGAAGUGCAGUCUGUUUGACUAUAAUGAGUGGAGGUCCGAUAUGCAUGCACCGGGUAGAAUGUGAAACAAGUAAAAUAAUUUGUCGACCCCAAAGAGAUCUGUGACCUGUAAUAAAUCUAAAUUAUUUGAUUUUUGUUUUAGUUCGUUUUAGGUUUUUAUAAUUUAAUGUGUUCAUUGUGUAGAAUGAAGCUGCAUGUAAAUGCUUA
Gigantopelta aegis is the source of this 1148-nucleotide long non-coding RNA. RefSeq lists it as uncharacterized. Lineage: Eukaryota; Metazoa; Mollusca; Gastropoda; Neomphalida; Peltospiridae. The record is from RefSeq and is a predicted model, not a curated record. The transcript is spliced from 2 exons.